Molecule: ribosomal RNA, 253 nt
Filed under: uncultured bacterium
Lineage: Bacteria
Description: partial 16S ribosomal RNA
Rfam family: Bacterial small subunit ribosomal RNA
Source: RNAcentral
UACGGGGGGGGCAAGCGUUGUUCGGAAUUACUGGGCGUAAAGGGCUCGUAGGCGGCCAAUUAAGUCAGACGUGAAAUCCCCAGGCUUAACCUGGGAACUGCGUCUGAUACUGGAUGGCUUGAAUUCGGGAGAGGGAUGCAGAAUUCCAGGUGUAGCGGUGAAAUGCGUAGAUAUCUGGAGGAAUACCGGUGGCGAAGGCGGCAUCCUGGACCGAGAUUGACGCUGAUGAGCGAAAGCUAGGGGAGCAAACGGG